GAUGAGCGCUGGCGGCGUGCCUAAUACAUGCAAGUCGAGCGGUAAGGUCCCUUCGGGGAUACACGAGCGGCGGACGGCUGAGUAACACGUAGGAACGUACCCCAAAGUGAGGGAUAACUGCUCGAAAGAGUAGCUAAUACCGCAUGUGAUCCACGGAUUAAAGCUUUAUGCGCUUUGGGAACGGCCUGCGUCCGAUUAGCUUGUUGGUGAGGUAAUAGCUCACCAAGGCGAUGAUCGGUAGCUGGUCUGAGAGGAUGAUCAGCCAGACUGGGACUGAGACACGGCCCAGACUCCUACGGGAGGCAGCAGUAGGGAAUUUUCCACAAUGGGCGAAAGCCUGAUGGAGCAACGCCGCGUGCAGGAUGAAUGCCUUCGGGUUGUAAACUGCUUUUAAUAGUGACGAUUAUGACGGUAACUAUUGAAUAAGGACCUGCUAACUACGUGCCAGCCGCCGCCGUAA
This 460-nucleotide ribosomal RNA is filed under the name uncultured bacterium. RNAcentral describes it as "partial 16S ribosomal RNA". It matches the Rfam family "Bacterial small subunit ribosomal RNA", at positions 28 to 523 of the family's 1533-position model. The record is from RNAcentral.